Cololabis saira (Pacific saury) is the source of this 700-nucleotide long non-coding RNA. RefSeq lists it as uncharacterized. Lineage: Eukaryota; Metazoa; Chordata; Actinopteri; Beloniformes; Belonidae. The transcript is spliced from 4 exons. The record is from RefSeq and is a predicted model, not a curated record.
CAGGAACAGAGUACCGGACUUUGCACGACUGGAGGAGGAAAUCCUUUUUUCUCGCAUGAAACGGGAGCCCCGAGAGCAGAUAUCUGUGUUUGACGGGCGGCGGGGGCGAGCCGGGGCUCGGCGGUGGCGGCUCCCCCGCCCCCCCCCACCCCCCGGCCCCCGGCCCCGGGGAAUGGCAGCCCUGUAAACCGUGAAGCAGCCAGGCAGAGGAGGGAAAGCAGUCACGCAGGCACGGACUCGGGCUGAGAGGUGUGAUACGGCGAGACUAGCGAUCGGGGAGAGAGCAGGAAGAAAAUGUGAGACAGAUGGAGCCGGGAGAGCAGACAGACGGACAGAGAGACAGGACGGUCACAUGGAGGAAGAGGGAUCUCUCUCUCUUCCCAUUUUGUCUGGCCACAUCCAGCCUCCCUGUGCUCGGCUGAGCGGCGCAGACACACAGAGGACUGCGGCAGCCUCCCCCACCGCCACCGACCGGGCCGGAGCUUCGGGAGCUGCGUGCUGGCCUGCGGUCCCGGCCAUACACCAACCCACGCUUAGCCGAGCUACUGACCGCCCUGGGACCCCCCCUUCCGGAAAUGACGACACCACGAAAGCCAGAAUAUCAACACAGUAGGAGAAGAAGAUGACGAACAACAAAGAACGGCAACGCAGAAGUGCGAGUGGCGCCACCUAGCGUCACGGAGUCUAACACACAUCCCUC